GCCCUUAGAGUUUGAUCCUGGCUCAGGAUGAACGCUAGCGGCAGGCUUAACACAUGCAAGUCGAGGGGUAACAGAGGUAGCUUGCUACUUGCUGACGACCGGCGCACGGGUGCGUAACGCGUAUAGAAUCUACCUUAUACUGGGGGAUAGCCUUUGGAAACGAAGAUUAAUACCCCAUAGUAUGUUUGAAUGGCAUCAUUUGGACAUUAAAGUUUCGGCGGUAUAAGAUGACUAUGCGUUCUAUUAGUUUGUUGGUAAGGUAACGGCUUACCAAGACUACGAUAGAUAGGGGUCCUGAGAGGGAGAUCCCCCACACUGGUACUGAGACACGGACCAGACUCCUACGGGAGGCAGCAGUGAGGAAUAUUGGACAAUGGAGGCAACUCUGAUCCAGCCAUGCCGCGUGUAGGAAGACUGCCCUAUGGGUUGUAAACUACUUUUAUAUGGGAAGAAUAAGGUCUACGUGUAGACUGAUGACGGUACCAUAAGAAUAAGCACCGGCUAACUCCGUGCCAGCAGCCGCGGUAAUAAGGGCG
This 536-nucleotide ribosomal RNA is filed under the name uncultured bacterium. RNAcentral describes it as "bacterial SSU rRNA". It matches the Rfam family "Bacterial small subunit ribosomal RNA", at positions 1 to 531 of the family's 1533-position model. The record is from RNAcentral.